CGCGCCACAGCCCGCCGGUAGCCGGCACCCAGCGCGUUCAGGAGGGGCCGCUGCCUCGACGCUGCAGCUCCUAUGCCGUUAGUAUUGUGUUUUACGGCUGUAAAUAGAGCGUUCUCAGGAAGAACACCGUUCGGUUCCCCUUCCGGCUGUCCGUCCCGUGACAGUCCUGUUACCACACUUAUCAAGCACAGAUUAAGGGUGAACGGAGUCCACCAGCGGAGUUGCAUUGCAUUUGUAUGGGAGAGGAAGGAGAGAAUUUGAAUCAAAAGCUGCACGCAAGCAAUCUCAGGAAGCCCCUAGCAGAAACCCAAAGGACGAACUCCCAAGUGAGCUGCAUCCUGGGGACUCUGAAAGGAUACUGCGUGCGGAGGAAGGUGCUCUUCACACCAUGAUGUUCCCCCGGCCUUGGUGACUACCCAGUACUCCCUGUGCUGGGGACUGCCAAUAAAUGCUGUUACUUAACUGUUCCUCUGUCCUGC
Molecule: long non-coding RNA, 479 nt
Filed under: Struthio camelus australis
Lineage: Eukaryota; Metazoa; Chordata; Aves; Struthioniformes; Struthionidae
Description: lncRNA (ENSSCUG00000002049.1)
Source: RNAcentral